UACGGAGGAUGCGAGCGUUAUCCGGAUUUAUUGGGUUUAAAGGGUGCGUAGGCGGGCUUUUAAGUCAGCGGUAAAAAUUCGGGGCUCAACCCCGUCCGGCCGUUGAAACUGGGGAUCUUGAGUGGGCGAGAAGAAGGCGGAAUGCGUGGUGUAGCGGUGAAAUGCAUAGAUAUCACGCAGAACCCCGAUUGCGAAGGCAGCCUUCCGGCGCCCUACUGACGCUGAGGCACGAAAGUGCGGGGAUCGAACAGG
Molecule: ribosomal RNA, 252 nt
Filed under: uncultured bacterium
Lineage: Bacteria
Description: partial 16S ribosomal RNA
Rfam family: Bacterial small subunit ribosomal RNA
Source: RNAcentral